UACGGGGGGGGCAAGCGUUGUUCGGAAUUACUGGGCGUAAAGGGUUUGUAGGUGGCUCGCUAAGUCAGACGUGAAAUCCCUCAGCUUAACUGGGGAACUGCGUCUGAAACUGAUGAGCUUGAGUGCAGGAGAGGAACGCGGAAUUCCAGGUGUAGCGGUGAAAUGCGUAGAUAUCAGGAAGAACACCCGUGGCUAAGGCGGCUCUCUAGUACGGUACUGACGCUGAGACGCGAAAGCGUGGGGAGCGAACAGG
Molecule: ribosomal RNA, 253 nt
Filed under: uncultured bacterium
Lineage: Bacteria
Description: partial 16S ribosomal RNA
Rfam family: Bacterial small subunit ribosomal RNA
Source: RNAcentral